Molecule: ribosomal RNA, 460 nt
Filed under: uncultured bacterium
Lineage: Bacteria
Description: partial 16S ribosomal RNA
Rfam family: Bacterial small subunit ribosomal RNA
Source: RNAcentral
CCUACGGGGGGCAGCAGUGAGGAAUAUUGGUCAAUGGCCGCGAGCCUGAACCAGCCAAGUAGCGUGAAGGAUGACUGCCCUACGGGUUGUAAACUUCUUUUAUAAGGGAAUAAAGUUGUGCACGUGUGCCUUUUUGUAUGUACUUUAUGAAUAAGGAUCGGCUAACUCCGUGCCAGCAGCCGCGGUAAUACGGAGGAUCCGCGCGUUAUCCGGAUUUAUUGGGUUUAAAGGGAGCGUAGAUGGGUUGUUAAGUCAGUUGUGAAAGUUUGCGGCUCAACCGUAAAAUUGCAAUUGAUACUGGCAGCCUUGAGUACAGUGGAGGUAGGCGGAAUUCGUGGUGUAGCGGUGAAAUGCUUAGAUAUCACGAAGAACUCCGAUUGCGAAGGCAGCUUACUAAACUGCCACUGACAUUGAUGCUCGAAAGUGUGGGUAUCAAACAGGAUUAGAUACCCCUGUAGUC